CUGCCUGCCGGCAGGUGAAAUCAGGAUGAAUAAGACUUAUCACUCUUUACAAGAUGGAAUUGAGAAUAUGAGGAAUGCCUACUUAAACGUCAUGAUCAGAUAAGGUUAAAAUGAUAAUAUGCAGAAUAAUAUGACCACCAUCAAGCAACAACUACUUGCAUUACAAUAACACCAGAUGCCAUGUAUGAAUUCCAGGUAUUUAGGUAUAUGUUACUUGAUGGAUGUUUGAAGUUGUGUUUUAAACGGAGAUAGGUUGGCUAAACGGGUAGUCACGAAAAGAAAGAAAGAAAGGCUUUGGUAAUCAUGAUCUCUGUCGCAACCCCCGUCCCCCUAUACAAAACCCGGGAACGGGCGGCUGCGGCCUGUUUCGGUGGUAUUCUGUUUUAGUCUAAUUUGGCAGCGGAAUUUAUAUCAGGACCGUAGUUAGGAAAUAUUUUAUCAGAGUAAAAUACAAC
Long non-coding RNA from Helianthus annuus (common sunflower), 455 nucleotides. RefSeq lists it as uncharacterized. Lineage: Eukaryota; Viridiplantae; Streptophyta; Magnoliopsida; Asterales; Asteraceae. The record is from RefSeq and is a predicted model, not a curated record. The transcript is spliced from 3 exons.